This 1443-nucleotide long non-coding RNA is filed under the name Sinocyclocheilus grahami. RNAcentral's name for it is "lncRNA (ENSSGRG00000038851.1)". The record is from RNAcentral. Lineage: Eukaryota; Metazoa; Chordata; Actinopteri; Cypriniformes; Cyprinidae.
CAGAAAUGGAAGAAGCAGAUGUUAACAGCAAUUUUGCACAGACAACGCUGAAUUCUCACUUAAAAUAUGCUGGUCAGGCAAAAGGACCAAGUAUCAUUGAUCAAAUUUUCCAUCAGACUCUUCCAAGUGUUGAAAGCCUAGCUUGUAGGAGUUCUCUGAAUAUUGAUCAGCCGCUAACAUCAAGCCUGCGAGACACCUCUUUUAGCCUUCAAAAAUUCCAAGGAGGGAGAAGUGAAAACGAGAGUAGUAAAUUAAUGAUGAAUAGCAGUGAAGUGCUCAAUAAAGGCAUUUGUGGUAAGAAAAAAGCAGAGAUGUCUCUGCUGAUAAACGAGAAUAAAGACAUGGAGGUAUCUGACAAGCAAGUAGGGUCACCGUUGUCAUGUGGAGACAUGCUAGAUAACGUGAAAUGUUCGGUUAAAGACGGAGAAACUGCCACUGGGGAGAACUCAAGUAGACAAGCCAGUGUGUUACAGAAUAGUGAUUCCCAAAACGAGAUGGGAAAAGACGUUCAGGACCAAAUGACUGAGAUUUCGGUGCCAUUAACAGCUGAGGAGGACAUAAUGAAGGAAAUGAUGACGCCGGCUGAUGAUGCUGAUCGUGCCAAGUCGCCCACAGAGAAAGAUUGGGAACUGACAGUGAUGGAGGGAAUAGAAAUUAAUUUCAGUACGAAUCCUGAUAGUGCACCAGCAGAAAAUCUCAGAGAUGAACAAAACCUGAAAGAUACCAUUUCUAAUGAGUGUUCAUUCGAGGCGACAUCAGACAUAUACAAAGACGUUCAGGAAGCACAGGGUGUUGGUAAUACCCAGGAUGUUAGCUGUGUGACUGAUUGUUUGGAGAAAGAGGAGGAUUUAGGUAGGAACAAAGCGGUUCAGAUGAUUGAAGCAACUAUGGAGGGAGAAGAAACUGAAGUUCUGGGGGCAAAUGAGCUUGUGGAGGAACAUGCUGUGCCUUCUUCAGAUGAUAGGUGUUGGGAAACCACUAAUGGCUGGGAUGAUAAUGAUGAAAUGAAUGAGGAGGGGGACCAGUACAGUGCUGGGAAGAUUGAUGAACAGACACUACUGGAGGAAGAUGAAUUGAGUGAAGGACACAUUGCAAGUGCUGGGACUGCAGAUGAUGCAUCAAAUAGAGCUCUGACACUGAGAAAAACAGAAGAAAUAAUAAUCAGAGAUGCUCCUUGUGUCCAGACUGAAGUAUCGCUUCAGUCAAACUAUCAAAGCCCCAGAGUGUGCAGUGAGAAUAUCUCAGCGGUGACGUCCAAUUCAGAAUCAACAGAUGAAGAAGAUAUUGAAGUAGAUGUUGUCGAUGAGUCUGUAGAAGAUCCGUUAGGGCUUUUGACGGCUAGACAGUUUGUCACACUGGCUAUUGAGUGUCUAAUGGAGCAAGAGGAUGAGUUGGAUGCCACCGAAGAAGAGGAGGUAGAUGUCACUGGAGAAGAGACGGAGU